RNAcentral lists this ribosomal RNA (252 nucleotides) under uncultured bacterium. RNAcentral's name for it is "partial 16S ribosomal RNA". It matches the Rfam family "Bacterial small subunit ribosomal RNA", at positions 524 to 776 of the family's 1533-position model. The record is from RNAcentral.
UACAGAGGUCUCAAGCGUUGUUCGGAUUCAUUGGGCGUAAAGGGUGCGUAGGUGGCGGGGUAAGUCAGGUGUGAAAUCUCGAGGCUCAACCUCGAAACUGCACUUGAUACUGCCUUGCUCGAGUACUGGAGAGGAGAUUGGAAUUUACGGUGUAGCAGUGAAAUGCGUAGAUAUCGUAAGGAAGACCAGUGGCGAAGGCGAAUCUCUGGACAGUUACUGACACUGAGGCACGAAGGCCAGGGAGCAAACGGG